CAGCCGCCGCGGUAAUACGAGGGGGGCUAGCGUUGUUCGGAUUUACUGGGCGUAAAGGGCGCGUAGGCGGACUGAUAAGUCAGGGGUGAAAUCCCAAGGCUCAACCUUGGAACUGCCUUUGAUACUGUUUGUCUUGAGUUCGAGAGAGGUAAGUGGAACUGCGAGUGUAGAGGUGAAAUUCGUAGAUAUUCGCAAGAACACCAGUGGCGAAGGCGGCUUACUGGCUCGAAACUGACGCUGAGGCGCGAAAGCGUGGGGAGCAAACAGGAUUAGAUACCCCCGUAGUCCCUGUCUCUUAUAC
Molecule: ribosomal RNA, 301 nt
Filed under: uncultured bacterium
Lineage: Bacteria
Description: partial 16S ribosomal RNA
Rfam family: Bacterial small subunit ribosomal RNA
Source: RNAcentral